RNAcentral lists this small RNA (31 nucleotides) under Bombyx mori (domestic silkworm). RNAcentral describes it as "ovarian small RNA-34831". Lineage: Eukaryota; Metazoa; Arthropoda; Insecta; Lepidoptera; Bombycidae. The record is from RNAcentral.
UGGCCGUGUGACUCUGGUUCCGGCAGAGGAC